Molecule: ribosomal RNA, 720 nt
Filed under: Triticum aestivum (bread wheat)
Lineage: Eukaryota; Viridiplantae; Streptophyta; Magnoliopsida; Poales; Poaceae
Description: partial small subunit ribosomal RNA
Source: RNAcentral
UCUUUGUGUGCUACUCUUUUAAGGGCCAAGUACUAUCCUAAUGGUGAUUUGCUGAACUCCAAGCCAAAGCAUGGUGCUUCCUUCACAUGGCAAAGUAUUAUGGAAGGCAUCACUACUCUCAAGCGAGGUUAUAUUUGGCGAGUGGGGGAUGGACAUAACAUCAACAUUUGGGAAGAUGCCUGGAUCCCAAAUUGUGCCACUAGGAAGAUUGUUACCCCUAGGGGAGGGCACUUGUUAUCAAAAGUCGUAGAUUUGAUUGACCCGGUCUCCAACAGUUGGGAUGAGGACCUGAUUAGACAAACUAUGUGGACCAUUGAUGCACAACGAAUUCUUUCAAUCCCAAUUGCAACAUAAUAUGACAGAUUUAUUGCCUGGAGUUAUACGAAAAAUGGUAUGUUUUCAGUACGGUCUGCUUACUCUGUGGAGUGGAACUAUCAGUAUGGGAGCAAACUAAAAUAUUCCAACGGGAUGGAACGAAGCAUACCUAACCCUAUAUGGUGUCAGAUAUGGAAGUUAUCUUGUCCGGCUAAAGUCAAAAAAUUUGUAUGGCGGACACUACAUGGCACUCUCCCAUGUCGGGCAACACUCACUAAUAGGCACAUGAAGGUCUCACCCUCUUGCCCUACCUGCUCUCAGGGUGUAGAAGAUACGAAGCACUUGCUUUUCCUUUGUAGAAAAGCGAAGGAGGUUUGGAAAAGGCUAGGGUUGGAUUUGAUUAUU